RNAcentral lists this ribosomal RNA (301 nucleotides) under uncultured bacterium. Its description in RNAcentral is "partial 16S ribosomal RNA". It matches the Rfam family "Bacterial small subunit ribosomal RNA", at positions 509 to 809 of the family's 1533-position model. The record is from RNAcentral.
CAGCCGCCGCGGUAAUACGGAGGGAGCUAGCGUUGUUCGGAAUUACUGGGCGUAAAGCGCGCGUAGGCGGUUACUCAAGUCAGAGGUGAAAGCCCGGGGCUCAACCCCGGAACUGCCUUUGAAACUAGGUGACUAGAAUCUUGGAGAGGUCAGUGGAAUUCCGAGUGCAGAGGUGAAAUUCGUAGAUAUUCGGAAGAACACCAGUGGCGAAGGCGACUGACUGGACAAGUAUUGACGCUGAGGUGCGAAAGCGUGGGGAGCAAACAGGAUUAGAUACCCCAGUAGUCCCUGUCUCUUAUAA